GUAAGGAAUAUUGGUCAAUGGACGCAAGUCUGAACCAGCCAUGCCGCGUGAAGGAUGAAGGCCCUCUGGGUCGUAAACUUCUUUUAUCAGGGAAGAAAUGUCUGAUUUCUAUCGGACUUGACGGUACCUGAGGAAUAAGCACCGGCUAACUCCGUGCCAGCAGCCGCGGUAAUACGGAGGGUGCAAGCGUUAUCCGGAUUUACUGGGUUUAAAGGGUGCGUAGGCGGGCCGAAAAGUCAGCGGUGAAAUACUCUCGCUUAACGAGGGAACUGCCGUUGAUACUGUCGGUCUUGAAUAUAGUGGAGGUGGGCGGAAUGUUACAUGUAGCGGUGAAAUGCUUAGAUAUGUAACGGAACACCUAUUGCGAAGGCAGCUCGCUACACUAUUAUUGACGCUGAGGCACGAAAGCGUGGGGAGCAAACAGGAUUAGAUACCCGAGUAGUCC
This 445-nucleotide ribosomal RNA is filed under the name uncultured bacterium. RNAcentral's name for it is "bacterial SSU rRNA". It matches the Rfam family "Bacterial small subunit ribosomal RNA", at positions 354 to 796 of the family's 1533-position model. The record is from RNAcentral.